AUUGGAGUGAGCAUCAUGUGUCU
RNAcentral lists this non-coding RNA (23 nucleotides) under Rattus norvegicus (Norway rat). Lineage: Eukaryota; Metazoa; Chordata; Mammalia; Rodentia; Muridae. The record is from RNAcentral.